RNAcentral lists this ribosomal RNA (492 nucleotides) under uncultured bacterium. RNAcentral's name for it is "partial 16S ribosomal RNA". It matches the Rfam family "Bacterial small subunit ribosomal RNA", at positions 29 to 507 of the family's 1533-position model. The record is from RNAcentral.
AGUGAACGCUGGCGGUAGGCCUAACACAUGCAAGUCGAGCGGCAGCACAGUAAGAGCUUGCUCUUACGGGUGGCGAGUGGCGGACGGGUAAGGAAUACAUCGGAAUCUACUUUUUCGUGGGGGAUAACGUAGGGAAACUUACGCUAAUACCGCAUACGACCUACGGGUGAAAGCAGGGGAUCUUCGGACCUUGCGCGAUUGAAUGAGCCGAUGUCGGAUUAGCUAGUUGGCGGGGUAAAGGCCCACCAAGGCGACGAUCCGUAGCUGGUCUGAGAGGAUGAUCAGCCACACUGGAACGGAGACACGGUCCAGACUCCUACGGGAGGCAGCAGUGGGGAAUAUUGGACAAUGGGCGCAAGCCUGAUCCAGCCAUACCGCGUGGGUGAAGAAGGCCUUCGGGUUGUAAAGCCCUUUUGUUGGGAAAGAAAAGCAGCAGGUUAAUACCCCGCUGUUCUGACGGUACCCAAAGAAUAAGCACCGGCUAACUUCGUG